RNAcentral lists this ribosomal RNA (1170 nucleotides) under Neisseria meningitidis. RNAcentral's name for it is "bacterial SSU rRNA". It matches the Rfam family "Bacterial small subunit ribosomal RNA", at positions 369 to 1533 of the family's 1533-position model. Lineage: Bacteria; Pseudomonadati; Pseudomonadota; Betaproteobacteria; Neisseriales; Neisseriaceae. The record is from RNAcentral.
CAAUGGGCGCAAGCCUGAUCCAGCCAUGCCGCGUGUCUGAAGAAGGCCUUCGGGUUGUAAAGGACUUUUGUCAGGGAAGAAAAGGCUGUUGCUAAUACCAGCGGCCGAUGACGGUACCUGAAGAAUAAGCACCGGCUAACUACGUGCCAGCAGCCGCGGUAAUACGUAGGGUGCGAGCGUUAAUCGGAAUUACUGGGCGUAAAGCGGGCGCAGACGGUUACUUAAGCAGGAUGUGAAAUCCCCGGGCUCAACCCGGGAACUGCGUUCUGAACUGGGUGACUCGAGUGUGUCAGAGGGAGGUAGAAUUCCACGUGUAGCAGUGAAAUGCGUAGAGAUGUGGAGGAAUACCGAUGGCGAAGGCAGCCUCCUGGGACAACACUGACGUUCAUGCCCGAAAGCGUGGGUAGCAAACAGGAUUAGAUACCCUGGUAGUCCACGCCCUAAACGAUGUCAAUUAGCUGUUGGGCAACCUGAUUGCUUGGUAGCGUAGCUAACGCGUGAAAUUGACCGCCUGGGGAGUACGGUCGCAAGAUUAAAACUCAAAGGAAUUGACGGGGACCCGCACAAGCGGUGGAUGAUGUGGAUUAAUUCGAUGCAACGCGAAGAACCUUACCUGGUCUUGACAUGUACGGAAUCCUCUGGAGACGGAGGAGUGCCUUCGGGAGCCGUAACACAGGUGCUGCAUGGCUGUCGUCAGCUCGUGUCGUGAGAUGUUGGGUUAAGUCCCGCAACGAGCGCAACCCUUGUCAUUAGUUGCCAUCAUUCAGUUGGGCACUCUAAUGAGACUGCCGGUGACAAGCCGGAGGAAGGUGGGGAUGACGUCAAGUCCUCAUGGCCCUUAUGACCAGGGCUUCACACGUCAUACAAUGGUCGGUACAGAGGGUAGCCAAGCCGCGAGGCGGAGCCAAUCUCACAAAACCGAUCGUAGUCCGGAUUGCACUCUGCAACUCGAGUGCAUGAAGUCGGAAUCGCUAGUAAUCGCAGGUCAGCAUACUGCGGUGAAUACGUUCCCGGGUCUUGUACACACCGCCCGUCACACCAUGGGAGUGGGGGAUACCAGAAGUAGGUAGGGUAACCGCAAGGAGCCCGCUUACCACGGUAUGCUUCAUGACUGGGGUGAAGUCGUAACAAGGUAGCCGUAGGGGAACCUGCGGCUGGAUCACCUCCUUU